Molecule: ribosomal RNA, 484 nt
Filed under: uncultured bacterium
Lineage: Bacteria
Description: partial 16S ribosomal RNA
Rfam family: Bacterial small subunit ribosomal RNA
Source: RNAcentral
GACGAACGCUGGCGGCGUGCUUAACACAUGCAAGUCGGACGAUGAAGCCGGAGCUUGCUCUGGUGAAUUAGUGGCGAACGGGUGAGUAACACGUGAGUAACCUGCCCUUGACUCUGGGAUAACUGCGGGAAACUGUAGCUAAUACCGGAUACGACCCUCGGAGGCAUCUCCUGGGGGUGGAAAGAAUUUCGGUCAAGGAUGGACUCGCGGCCUAUCAGCUAGUUGGUGAGGUAAAGGCUCACCAAGGCGACGACGGGUAGCCGGCCUGAGAGGGUGACCGGCAACACGGGGACUGCGACACGGCCCAGACUCCUACGGGAGGCAGCAGUGGGGAAUAUUGCACAAUGGGCGCAAGCCUGAUGCAGCAACGCCGCGUGAGGGAUGACGGCCUUCGGGUUGUAAACCUCUUUUAGCAGGGAAGAAGCGAAAGUGACGGUACCUGCAGAAAAAGCACCGGCUAACUACGUGCCAGCAGCCGCAGUAA